CGGGGCGUAGCGCAGCCUGGUAGCGCACACGUCUGGGGGGCGUGGGGUCGCUGGUUCAAAUCCAGUCGCCCCGACGA
This 77-nucleotide transfer RNA is filed under the name Bacteroidales bacterium 6E. Its description in RNAcentral is "tRNA-Pro". It matches the Rfam family "tRNA". Rfam says of the family: Transfer RNA (tRNA) molecules are approximately 80 nucleotides in length. Their secondary structure includes four short double-helical elements and three loops (D, anti-codon, and T loops). Further hydrogen bonds mediate the characteristic L-shaped molecular structure. tRNAs have two regions of fundamental functional importance: the anti-codon, which is responsible for specific mRNA codon recognition, and the 3' end, to which the tRNAs corresponding amino acid is attached (by aminoacyl-tRNA synthetases). tRNAs cope with the degeneracy of the genetic code in two manners: having more than one tRNA (with a specific anti-codon) for a particular amino acid; and 'wobble' base-pairing, i.e. permitting non-standard base-pairing at the 3rd anti-codon position. Lineage: Bacteria; Pseudomonadati; Bacteroidota; Bacteroidia; Bacteroidales. The record is from RNAcentral.